RNAcentral lists this ribosomal RNA (455 nucleotides) under uncultured bacterium. Its description in RNAcentral is "bacterial SSU rRNA". It matches the Rfam family "Bacterial small subunit ribosomal RNA", at positions 8 to 463 of the family's 1533-position model. The record is from RNAcentral.
AGAGUUUGAUCCUGGCUCAGAUUGAACGCUGGCGGCAUGCUUUACACAUGCAAGCCGAACGGCAGCACGGGUGCUUGCACCUGGUGGCGAGUGGCGAACGGGUGAGUAAUGCACCGGAACGUACCCAGUAAUGGGGGAUAACACAUCGAAAGAUGUGCUAAUACCGCAUACGCCCUGAGGGGGAAAGCGGGGGAUCGUAAGACCUCGCGUUAUUGGAGCGGCCGAUGCCGGAUUAGCUAGUUGGUGAGGUAAGAGCUCACCAAGGCGACGAUCCGUAGCUGGUCUGAGAGGACGACCAGCCACACUGGGACUGAGACACGGCCCAGACUCUUACGGGAGGCAGCAGUGGGGAAUUUUGGACAAUGGGCGCAAGCCUGAUCCAGCCAUGCCGCGUGAGUGAAGAAGGCCUUCGGGUUGUAAAGCUCUUUCGCAAGGAAAGAAAACUUAUCUACUAA